Erinaceus europaeus (western European hedgehog) is the source of this 102-nucleotide non-coding RNA. NCBI's taxonomy places the organism in Eukaryota, Metazoa, Chordata, Mammalia, Eulipotyphla, Erinaceidae. The record is from Rfam.
GUGGUCACUUUGGCAGCAUAUAUACUAAAAUUGAAUGUUAGAAGAUUAGCAUGGCCCCUGAGCAAGGAUGACGUGCAAAUUUGUGAAGUGUUCCAUAUUAAA